Biomphalaria glabrata is the source of this 444-nucleotide long non-coding RNA. RefSeq lists it as uncharacterized. The record is from RefSeq and is a predicted model, not a curated record. NCBI's taxonomy places the organism in Eukaryota, Metazoa, Mollusca, Gastropoda, Planorbidae. The transcript has 3 exons.
AUCUCUGAAGCUUGUUGGAAUGGAUUUUUUAGAUUUUUUGAAAAUUACGUUUUUUUUUGCUAGCCUUCAAAAUGGAACAUAUUUAGGCAUAUGUGUACGCUUUAAUAGAAUAAGAUUCUAAUGGGAAUUUUAAUGUUUCAGCUGUAGAAUAUGGAUAUAAAUAAUGAUUGGGGCAACUUCAAAACUACUUUGUCAACUAUCCAGAGAUUCAGGGGAAUGAAAUCUUAGACUAUUUAUAAUUAAGAUGUUCCUUCAGAGUUGAAAACAACUACAUUCUAGCUUGAACGUCCCACAAGAAGAUGUGGGAUGGCAGCAGGCAGGGGUCUAACCUAGGAUCAUGGAGACCACCAAACGAUAGUCCAGAGUGUAUAUGAUUAAUUGAGUAGACAAAGAAAGGAUGGAUUACUGGAGCUAAAAGAAGGCAUAAUUUUAACAAUAGAUUAC